Molecule: ribosomal RNA, 253 nt
Filed under: uncultured bacterium
Lineage: Bacteria
Description: partial 16S ribosomal RNA
Rfam family: Bacterial small subunit ribosomal RNA
Source: RNAcentral
UACGGAGGGGGCUAGCGUUGCUCGGAUUGACUGGGCGUAAAGGGCGCGUAGGCGGCUUGUACAGUCAGACGUGAAAUUCCUGGGCUCAACCUGGGGGCUGCGUUUGAUACGUAUGGGCUUGAGUUCGGAAGAGGGUCGUGGAAUUCCCAGUGUAGAGGUGAAAUUCGUAGAUAUUGGGAAGAACACCGGUGGCGAAGGCGGCGACCUGGUCCGAUACUGACGCUGAGGCGCGAAAGCGUGGGGAGCAAACAGG